Molecule: long non-coding RNA, 898 nt
Organism: Psammomys obesus (fat sand rat)
Lineage: Eukaryota; Metazoa; Chordata; Mammalia; Rodentia; Muridae
Exons: 2
Source: RefSeq, a predicted model, not a curated record
UUGGGACUUCCUUUCCUGGCUACCAGACUGCUAUUUACUGCAUACAACCACUGGCUGGAUUGUGUCCUGCCAGACACAGAUGUUUCCUAUAGCCACAACAGCGCCAAAGCAGCUACAGGUGUUCAGCUCCAACCUCACAGACUUCCAACAAGCUGGACCUGCACCUUCCCUCCCAGCCAUGGGUGUUCUCACAGACCUGGAAAAGCAUCAAAGCAGCCUAUUCUUCCUGGACUUGGUCGACACUUCAGCCUUUUGACCUCCCUACAUUGCCCCCAGUGUCAGCAGGAAGUAGCCAGAAGAGAAUCUACGCCCUUAUUCACUUGUUAACAAAAGGCUGAAGUGGUGUGCUUCAGGACCAGGACAAGCAGCUCCAGGUUCUCCCAGUGUUCCCCAGUCCUUCCCCGCUGCCUUGCAUGGCUGGCAACUCUCUGUUGACAACCCUCUGCCCUAAAUUUUCCAGGGCAGAGACUUCUCUUAUUCUUAACCCUGCAACCUAACCAUUUUGUUACUAUAACUCUUCUCUCUCUCAACCUCUUGCAUGACAACCAAGAGCUGCUUCCAGUGAGCCUAAAUUUAUAUACUUUAACUCACCUUAUAAAAGGCAGCCCAAGAUCCCUAUUUUUAAUUAUAGAAAAAGGGAGGAAUGUUGGGAUCAGUAAGCAGGCACUUCUAUGGCCAGCCCCAUAGACCGGUUAUCAGGCAUUUGUAAAGACACCCUGACCACCUGGAAUUACCUGUGCAUGCCCUUGAUCACCCUAUAAGAGAACUGGAACCCUCCCCCCUCUCUCUCUUCUUUCCUCUUCCUCUCUCUUCUCCUCUCUCUCCCCAUCUCUCUUCCUUUCUCUGUCUCUGCUCCCUUCUCCCCCCUUCCCCUAAUAAACCUCCCACGUGGAAACGA